This 1387-nucleotide ribosomal RNA is filed under the name Triticum aestivum (bread wheat). RNAcentral's name for it is "partial small subunit ribosomal RNA". Lineage: Eukaryota; Viridiplantae; Streptophyta; Magnoliopsida; Poales; Poaceae. The record is from RNAcentral.
GCGGUGACAGCCUAUUUUUCUUGGGCCGGUUAGUACCAGGCCGCCUCCAAACACAAACGAAUAGAAAACGCCGUCCAUUCGACAUCCGAAGUUAGUUUCCGAAAACAAAAAGUCGGCUCUUUAAUGUCGCUGACUCUUUGGUGCAGCGACACGUGAUGCAUGAGGUGAACCUUUUGAGCGGAACAUUCUGACUGGUAGGGAACGCAAGUUCGGAGGAGGGGAGCCGGGGAGGGGACGACCCUAAGGUAUCGGGGUUACUAAUUAUUGGACCUUAAGACGGGAUCGAUCAAUGGGACCCUUUAAGAGUACCACUCACAGACCGUGCUGUGUGAAACUAACCAACCAAAGCCUCGAUUCCACUUCGACAGUCCCUUGCUCGUUAAUAGGAAGGAAGGAUCCGCUCAUCGGGUAAACCAGAGACUAGAGAUAGGCGAGUCUCCUUACCAGAUAAAACGGAGGGAAAAAUUCGGGUACAGGAGGAGGGAGCGGUAGUAAGUAGGGUUGUUUCGCACAGUUUGGAGAGGGAGUUCACAACAGGGUUAUGGGUGAUGGAGAAGAGAGGUGGCAGAAGAAGUCGAGAGAGCUCGCCUUCCUUUUCCAGAGUACCUCCCGGAGUAGGGCAAGUAGAUGUCCCGGCACCGCGUCAUGUCCUUCCUCCCCGUCCAGAGGGAGCGGCUGGAGGAGAAGCUGCUCGUCGGCAGGAGCAGCGGGUGCCGCCGGAGCCGGAUGAAGGCGGAGGGGCCCCUGAGGCCGGCCGUGGUCGCGCAGAGCCGGCUGAGGCCACGUCGUGCCGCCAGAGGCCGCGUGGCAGCCGCGUGGUACCUCGUGCCUAGCACCACUGGCUAACACCAACUUCGCGUCUUUCCGGUUAUUAUUUCCUUUGUCUCGCUUCGUCCACUUCUGAACGGAUCCAUGCAGCAGCUCAUGUACGUCUAUGCUACAGCUAACGACUCGGAUCGAUUCGAUUGUGCUCGAAGUCUGGACGUCAAAUACACACGAUAUGUACGUAUAUAAACAUAAAGUCAAGUCGGACAUUGCUCAGCCACUCACAGUUGACAUUUAUACCCUACGUGUUCGCGUCCUGGAGGCUUCCUCCUGACACUUCUUCUACAUAUCACAGUCUCAGGUAUGUUUAUGUACCUCACAUUAUACCGUUAUUUUCGAAGUGGUACAUGUUUUUCCAACACAUGUGCGUGUGUACUGACGAACGACGUUCUGACGUUUUCUUCACUGACAGUUCGUAGUUCUAACGAUCAACGUAGGCGCAAGAAGUCAAGUUAGCAGGAAAAGUUCCUUCUUCUUCUUAAAAGUCAAGCUUUAUUCCUAUUUUUGUUGGAAGACCAAAGUGUGGGUCUCGUUCUUGAUGGUAACAAGAGAACUUUGAGUG